RNAcentral lists this transfer RNA (69 nucleotides) under Capito niger. Its description in RNAcentral is "tRNA-Asp". The record is from RNAcentral. Lineage: Eukaryota; Metazoa; Chordata; Aves; Piciformes; Ramphastidae.
GGCGCAUUAGUAAGAACAUUACAUGGUCUUGUCAAGGCCAAAUCACAGACAAAAAUAUCUGUAUGCACC